This 459-nucleotide ribosomal RNA is filed under the name uncultured bacterium. RNAcentral's name for it is "partial 16S ribosomal RNA". It matches the Rfam family "Bacterial small subunit ribosomal RNA", at positions 338 to 795 of the family's 1533-position model. The record is from RNAcentral.
CCUACGGGUGGCAGCAGUGAGGAAUAUUGGUCAAUGGCCGAGAGGCUGAACCAGCCAAGUCGCGUGAAGGAAGACGGCCCCACGGGUUGUAAACCUCUUUUGUCGGGGAGCAAAGCGAGCCACGCGUGGCGUAUUGAGAGUACCCGAAGAAAAAGCAUCGGCUAACUCCGUGCCAGCAGCCGCGGUAAUACGGAGGAUGCGAGCGUUAUCCGGAUUUAUUGGGUUUAAAGGGUGCGCAGGCGGGGGGGAAAGUCAGCGGUCAAAUUGCGGGGCUCAACCCCGGCGAGCCGUUGAAACUGGCGGCCUUGAGACGGCGAGAAGUACGCGGAAUGCGGGGUGUAGCGGUGAAAUGCAUAGAUAUCGCGCAGAACUCCGAUUGCGAAGGCAGCAUACCGGCGCGGAACUGACGCUGAGGCACGAAAGCGUGGGUAUCGAACAGGAUUAGAUACCCGGGUAGUC